This 497-nucleotide ribosomal RNA is filed under the name uncultured bacterium. RNAcentral's name for it is "partial 16S ribosomal RNA". It matches the Rfam family "Bacterial small subunit ribosomal RNA", at positions 28 to 507 of the family's 1533-position model. The record is from RNAcentral.
GAUGAACGCUGGCGGCGUGCCUAAUACAUGCAAGUCGAGCGAACGGACGAGAAGCUUGCUUCUCUGAUGUUAGCGGCGGACGGGUGAGUAACACGUGGAUAACCUACCUAUAAGACUGGGAUAACUUCGGGAAACCGGAGCUAAUACCGGAUAAUAUUUUGAACCGCAUGGUUCAAAAGUGAAAGACGGUCUUGCUGUCACUUAUAGAUGGAUCCGCGCUGCAUUAGCUAGUUGGUAAGGUAACGGCUUACCAAGGCAACGAUGCAUAGCCGACCUGAGAGGGCGAUCGGCCACACUGGAACUGAGACACGGUCCAGACUCCUACGGGAGGCAGCAGUAGGGAAUCUUCCGCAAUGGGCGAAAGCCUGACGGAGCAACGCCGCGUGAGUGAUGAAGGUCUUCGGAUCGUAAAACUCUGUUAUUGGGGAAGAACAUAUGUGUAAGUAACUGUGCACAUCUUGACGGUACCUAAUCAGAAAGCCACGGCUAACUACGUG